GGAUUUAGAACUGAAGAAGCUUCUUGGAUGAGAUUUGACACGUCUUCAGAUAAUAUAAUGAAGUCCAGCUGACGUCCUUUCAAGCUCCUAAGACUACCAUGACCUGGAUGACUGAGAACCUACAAACCUACAUCCAAGACAAGAUCUCCAAUGAAAGCAGAGCAGCAGAAAGACGUGCUGAGUGUAAAGCUGUCAGCAGGGGGAAUAACACAGGGCUGUGAAUGAGUCCUGUCACUGUGAUCAGGCUCCUCCUUCUAAUCCACCAACUUAGUGUUGAUGAAGACUAAACAGAGAGAUCACAGCUUCUUUAUACUUGCUGUAGCUCACAGUUACUCUACACUGCAGAUAUGACGCCUCUGUUCAUCUCAGUGCUGCUGGCUGCUAUGUGCCUCGAAUGCAGAGCACAAAAAGACAACGUGCUGCAAGCAAAAGGAGAAGAGACUGCUGCUGCAGGAGGCACAGUAACACUUGGCUGUCAGUAUGAGAGCAGUUCUUCACAACCUUCUCUCUUCUGGUACAAACAGGAUGGAAACAACAGCCCCAAAUUCAUCCUGAGUCGUGUUAGUGGGGACCAAGGAGACACAGCAGACGAGUUCAAGGAGAGAUUUUCAUCCACACUGGAUUCCAGCAUCAGAUCAGUUCCUCUGAAGAUCCAGAAGCUUCAGCUGUCUGACUCUGCUGUGUACUACUGUGCUCUGCAGCCCACAGUGACAGGAAACACCAAAACUCUGUACAAAAACCUUUGGAGCAAAGACAACAGAAUACUCCACAACAUCCACUAGAGGGAGCCACACACUGUUAAACCUCUGAUUCUUGUGUCAUUGGACUGAUGACAAAGACAACAGAGAAAUGAAGCAGUAAAGAUCAGAGACAGAGACAGAGCUGCUGUGGAAGCACAAAACUAUUUGAUUGGCUCAGCUAUUAAACUGGCCCCGCCCACUGAACAUGAGCUCAUCCAAUGACAUUAUUUGUUGGUCAUUGUGCUGCAGUGGAAGAACAUUGUUCAUGUGCUGUCUGUCUGGCUUUAAUAACUCCAAAGACAUGUUGCUGCACCUCUUUUUGCUUCU
Molecule: non-coding RNA, 1067 nt
Organism: Oreochromis aureus
Lineage: Eukaryota; Metazoa; Chordata; Actinopteri; Cichliformes; Cichlidae
Source: the annotation of a RefSeq genome assembly